This 430-nucleotide ribosomal RNA is filed under the name uncultured bacterium. Its description in RNAcentral is "partial 16S ribosomal RNA". It matches the Rfam family "Bacterial small subunit ribosomal RNA", at positions 355 to 774 of the family's 1533-position model. The record is from RNAcentral.
UGGGGAAUUUUGGACAAUGGGGGAAACCCUGAUCCAGCCAUCCCGCGUGUGCGAUGAAGGCCUUCGGGUUGUAAAGCACUUUUGGCAGGAAAGAAACGUCGCGGGUUAAUACCCCGCGAAACUGACGGUACCUGCAGAAUAAGCACCGGCUAACUACGUGCCAGCAGCCGCGGUAAUACGUAGGGUGCAAGCGUUAAUCGGAAUUACUGGGCGUAAAGCGUGCGCAGGCGGUUCGGAAAGAAAGAUGUGAAAUCCCAGAGCUUAACUUUGGAACUGCAUUUUUAACUACCGGGCUAGAGUGUGUCAGAGGGAGGUGGAAUUCCGCGNGUAGCAGUGAAAUGCGUAGAUAUGCGGAGGAACACCGAUGGCGAAGGCAGCCUCCUGGGGAUAAGCACUGACGCUCAUGCAGCGAAAAGCGUGGGAGCAAACA